CGGAGCUUGCUCCACCGGAAAAAGAAGAGUGGCGAACGGGUGAGUAACACGUGGGUAACCUGCCCAUCAGAAGGGGAUAACACUUGGAAACAGGUGCUAAUACCGUAUAACAAUCGAAACCGCAUGGUUUUGAUUUGAAAGGCGCUUUCGGGUGUCGCUGAUGGAUGGACCCGCGGUGCAUUAGCUAGUUGGUGAGGUAACGGCUCACCAAGGCCACGAUGCAUAGCCGACCUGAGAGGGUGAUCGGCCACAUUGGGACUGAGACACGGCCCAAACUCCUACGGGAGGCAGCAGUAGGGAAUCUUCGGCAAUGGACGAAAGUCUGACCGAGCAACGCCGCGUGAGUGAAGAAGGUUUUCGGAUCGUAAAACUCUGUUGUUAGAGAAGAACAAGGAUGAGAGUAACUGUUCAUCCCUUGACGGUAUCUAACCAGAAAGCCACGGCUAACUACGUGCCAGCAGCCGCGGUAAUACGUAGGUGGCAAGCGUUGUCCGGAUUUAUUGGGCGUAAAGCGAGCGCAGGCGGUUUCUUAAGUCUGAUGUGAAAGCCCCCGGCUCAACCGGGGAGGGUCAUUGGAAACUGGGAGACUUGAGUGCAGAAGAGGAGAGUGGAAUUCCAUGUGUAGCGGUGAAAUGCGUAGAUAUAUGGAGGAACACCAGUGGCGAAGGCGGCUCUCUGGUCUGUAACUGACGCUGAGGCUCGAAAGCGUGGGGAGCAAACAGGAUUAGAUACCCUGGUAGUCCACGCCGUAAACGAUGAGUGCUAAGUGUUGGAGGGUUUCCGCCCUUCAGUGCUGCAGCUAACGCAUUAAGCACUCCGCCUGGGGAGUACGACCGCAAGGUUGAAACUCAAAGGAAUUGACGGGGGCCCGCACAAGCGGUGGAGCAUGUGGUUUAAUUCGAAGCAACGCGAAGAACCUUACCAGGUCUUGACAUCCUUUGACCACUCUAGAGAUAGAGCUUCCCCUUCGGGGGCAAAGUGACAGGUGGUGCAUGGUUGUCGUCAGCUCGUGUCGUGAGAUGUUGGGUUAAGUCCCGCAACGAGCGCAACCCUUAUUGUUAGUUGCCAUCAUUCAGUUGGGCACUCUAGCAAGACUGCCGGUGACAAACCGGAGGAAGGUGGGGAUGACGUCAAAUCAUCAUGCCCCUUAUGACCUGGGCUACACACGUGCUACAAUGGGAAGUACAACGAGUCGCGAAGUCGCGAGGCUAAGCUAAUCUCUUAAAGCUUCUCUCAGUUCGGAUUGUAGGCUGCAACUCGCCUACAUGAAGCCGGAAUCGCUAGUAAUCGCGGAUCAGCACGCCGCGGUGAAUACGUUCCCGGGCCUUGUACACACCGCCCGUCACACCACGAGAGUUUGUAACACCCGAAGUCGGUGA
This 1379-nucleotide ribosomal RNA is filed under the name Enterococcus durans. Its description in RNAcentral is "bacterial SSU rRNA". It matches the Rfam family "Bacterial small subunit ribosomal RNA", at positions 74 to 1433 of the family's 1533-position model. The record is from RNAcentral. Lineage: Bacteria; Bacillati; Bacillota; Bacilli; Lactobacillales; Enterococcaceae.